ACACAUACAUGCUGGAGCUGCUGGAGCCAAGGGUCAGAGGUGACAGGGACAAGGCCCUGUGGUCUUCUCUUGAUAAGAGUUCCCAGGAAAGAGUCUAGAACGGAAAUUCAUACCUGCCAAGUGAUAAAAUUUAAUUUUUGUUACCAAGCCUUAUAAUCUUUCUAUAAAUUCCUCAUCAACGACAUUCAAUUCAGUAUAGGUGAGGGGGUCAGAAAGAGCCAUCUUUGAGGACCGGUUUUCUCCUUAAGUCUCUUUGCCCAGGGUGGUCAUCCCAGUGCCUCACCAGGCAUGCAUCAAACAUGUCGGGAUCACCCUACUCCUAGGGACACUGCUUCAAGAGUCAAGUGAAGCAGCUUAGUCCUGCUGCUGCUGCUGCUGCUGCUGCUGCUGCUGCUGUUCCUCCUCCUCCUGCUGCUGCUACUGCUGCUGCUGCCUACUGCGUGCAGUCCUGCAGAGUGGAGAGGCAUUUUGUGACUAUGCGAGACUCUGCUGCUCAGUGGAAGGACAGUAUCUCGAGCUGACUGAGGAGUCAAGGAGGAUGUUCUCAGAAAGCAGAACCUGGUGAAGGGGCGGGGCAUACUUGAAGAAGGACAUUUCCGCUGUCCAAUAGGACUGAAAAUCAGUGAAGACAGGUGGCCGUGGAUGUCUGUGGGAGUUCAAGCACUGAAGGUUUUCAGCCUCGGCGUUUCAGUCACUGUCCCAAGCAAGUAGUGGAGGAGGAGGAGGAGGAGGAGGAGGA
Long non-coding RNA from Arvicola amphibius (Eurasian water vole), 739 nucleotides. RefSeq lists it as uncharacterized. The transcript has 3 exons. The record is from RefSeq and is a predicted model, not a curated record. Lineage: Eukaryota; Metazoa; Chordata; Mammalia; Rodentia; Cricetidae.